Molecule: non-coding RNA, 29 nt
Filed under: Rattus norvegicus (Norway rat)
Lineage: Eukaryota; Metazoa; Chordata; Mammalia; Rodentia; Muridae
Source: RNAcentral
UGGUUGGCAUCUUCAUCUCUCUCAGAGCG